GCUGGGUGCGGUGGUGCGUGCCUGUAGUCCCAGCUACUCUGGAGGCUGAGGUGGGAGGAUCGCUUGAGCCCAGGAGUUCUGGGCUGUAGUGCGCUAUGCUGAUCGGGUGUCCACACUAAGUUUGGCAUCAAUAUGGUGACCUCCAGGGAGCAGGGGACCACCAGCUUGCCUAAGGAGGGGUGAACUGGCCCAGGUUGGAAAUAAAGCUGUUCAAAACUCCUGUGCUGAUCAGUAGUGGGAUCGCACCUGUGAAUAGUCACUGCACUCCAGCCUGGGCAACAUAGCGAGACCCACAUCUCU
This 300-nucleotide signal recognition particle RNA is filed under the name Saimiri boliviensis boliviensis (Bolivian squirrel monkey). RNAcentral's name for it is "Metazoan signal recognition particle RNA (ENSSBOG00000001817.1)". It matches the Rfam family "Metazoan signal recognition particle RNA". Rfam says of the family: The signal recognition particle (SRP) is a universally conserved ribonucleoprotein. It is involved in the co-translational targeting of proteins to membranes. Lineage: Eukaryota; Metazoa; Chordata; Mammalia; Primates; Cebidae. The record is from RNAcentral.